AAAAGUUUCUAAGUUUAGCUAAUGUUGCCCGUACCGUAAACCGACACAGGUGGGUGGGAUGAGUAUUCUAAGGCGCGUGGAAGAACUCUCUUUAAGGAACUCUGCAAAAUAGCACCGUAUCUUCGGUAUAAGGUGUGGUUCGCUUCGUAUUAGGAUUUACUCCGAAAGCGAAGAAACUUACAACAAAGAGUCCCUCCCGACUGUUUACCAAAAACACAGCACUCUGCUAACUCGUAAGAGGAUGUAUAGGGUGUGACGCCUGCCCGGUGCUCGAAGGUUAAUUGAUGGGGUUAGCAUUAGCGAAGCUCUUGAUCGAAGCCCGAGUAAACGGCGGCCGUAACUAUAACGGUCCUAAGGUAGCGAAAUUCCUUGUCGGUUAAAUACCGACCUGCAUGAAUGGCGUAACGAGAUGGGAGCUGUCUCAAAGAGGGAUCCAGUGAAAUUGUAGUGGAGGUGAAAAUUCCUCCUACCCGCGGCAAGACGGAAAGACCCCGUGGACCUUUACUACAGCUUGACACUGCUACUUGGAUAAGAAUGUGCAGGAUAGGUGGGAGGCUUUGAGUAUAUGACGCCAGUUGUAUAUGAGCCAUUGUUGAGAUACCACUCUUUCUUAUUUGGGUAGCUAACCAGCUUGAGUUAUCCUCAAGUGGGACAAUGUCUGGUGGGUAGUUUGACUGGGGCGGUCGCCUCCCAAAUAAUAACGGAGGCUUACAAAGGUUGGCUCAGAACGGUUGGAAAUCGUUCGUAGAGUAUAAAGGUAUAAGCCAGCUUAACUGCAAGACAUACAAGUCAAGCAGAGACGAAAGUCGGUCUUAGUGAUCCGGUGGUUCUGUGUGGAAGGGCCAUCGCUCAAAGGAUAAAAGGUACCCCGGGGAUAACAGGCUGAUCUCCCCCAAGAGCUCACAUCGACGGGGAGGUUUGGCACCUCGAUGUCGGCUCAUCGCAUCCUGGGGCUGGAGCAGGUCCCAAGGGUAUGGCUGUUCGCCAUUUAAAGCGGUACGCGAGCUGGGUUCAGAACGUCGUGAGACAGUUCGGUCCCUAUCUGCCGUGGGCGUAAGAAGAUUGAAGAGAUUUGACCCUAGUACGAGAGGACCGGGUUGAACAAACCACUGGUGUAGCUGUUGUUCUGCCAAGAGCAUCGCAGCGUAGCUAAGUUUGGAAAGGAUAAACGCUGAAAGCAUCUAAGCGUGAAGCCAACUCUAAGAUGAAUCUUCUCUAAGCUCUCUAGAAGACUACUAGUUUGAUAGGCUGGGUGUGUAAUGGAUGAAAGUCCUUUAGCUGACCAGUACUAAUAGAGCGUUUGGCUUAUCUUUAAUAAAGCAU
RNAcentral lists this ribosomal RNA (1323 nucleotides) under Campylobacter coli. RNAcentral describes it as "partial 23S ribosomal RNA". It matches the Rfam family "Bacterial large subunit ribosomal RNA", at positions 1613 to 2925 of the family's 2925-position model. The record is from RNAcentral. Lineage: Bacteria; Pseudomonadati; Campylobacterota; Epsilonproteobacteria; Campylobacterales; Campylobacteraceae.